CUUGACCGAGCCCAGCCACAGCGGCCGUGUGGCGUCGCGGUCCCGGCCGUAGGUCGCCAGCAGCGCCUGCGCCUC
Molecule: antisense RNA, 75 nt
Filed under: Streptomyces sp. MP131-18
Lineage: Bacteria; Bacillati; Actinomycetota; Actinomycetes; Kitasatosporales; Streptomycetaceae
Description: ASpks TB sRNA
Rfam family: ASpks TB sRNA
Source: Rfam by way of RNAcentral